GAUGAACGCUAGCGGCAGGCCUAACACAUGCAAGUCGAGGGGGAAGUUACUUUCGGGUGACUGAGACCGGCGUACGGGUGCGUAACGCGUAUACAAUCUGCCUUUCACUGGGGGAUAGCCCGAAGAAAUUUGGAUUAAUACCCCAUAGUAUAUAGGGACGGCAUCGUUUUUAUAUUAAAGCUUAGGUGGUGAAAGAUGAGUAUGCGUUCUAUUAGCUAGUUGGAGAGGUAACGGCUCCCCAAGGCGAUGAUAGAUAGGGGUUCUGAGAGGGAUGUCCCCACACUGGUACUGAGAUACGGACCAGACUCCUACGGGAGGCAGCAGUGAGGAAUAUUGGACAAUGGUCGGAAGACUGAUCCAGCCAUGCCGCGUGCAGGAUGAAGGUCUUAUGGAUUGUAAACUGCUUUUGUAAGGGAAGAAUAAGGGCUACGCGUAGUUUGAUGACGGUACCUUACGAAUAAGCAUCGGCUAACUCCGUG
Molecule: ribosomal RNA, 479 nt
Filed under: uncultured bacterium
Lineage: Bacteria
Description: partial 16S ribosomal RNA
Rfam family: Bacterial small subunit ribosomal RNA
Source: RNAcentral